This 269-nucleotide unclassified non-coding RNA is filed under the name fungal sp. RNAcentral's name for it is "partial internal transcribed spacer region". The stretch from base 1 to 46 matches the Rfam family "Eukaryotic small subunit ribosomal RNA", at positions 1786 to 1831 of the family's 1831-position model. The record is from RNAcentral. Lineage: Eukaryota; Fungi.
AAGUCGUAACAAGGUCUCCGUAGGUGAACCUGCGGAGGGAUCAUUAACACGUGUAAAAACGUAUUAUAUACCCAUUUACCAACCAAUACCGUGAACUAUGUUUGAAAACAACAUUUUUUAUUUUUCUUUACUAUUACGGUCACUGGUUAUAGUGAAGAAAUGCAACCCUUUUCCAAUCUAAAUUUCUUUUUUUCUUUGUUAUUUUAACAGUAACAACAUAAAAAAUAAAAAUAAAAGCACAACUCUUAGCAACGGAUAUCUUGGUUCUC